GGCCCGGUGGCGCAGUGGUUAGCACUAUUGCCUUGCAGGAAGGAGGUUCGACUCCUGGCUGGCUCA
RNAcentral lists this transfer RNA (66 nucleotides) under Anguilla anguilla (European eel). RNAcentral describes it as "tRNA-OTHER". Lineage: Eukaryota; Metazoa; Chordata; Actinopteri; Anguilliformes; Anguillidae. The record is from RNAcentral.